RNAcentral lists this ribosomal RNA (300 nucleotides) under uncultured Vagococcus sp. RNAcentral's name for it is "bacterial SSU rRNA". It matches the Rfam family "Bacterial small subunit ribosomal RNA", at positions 495 to 795 of the family's 1533-position model. Lineage: Bacteria; Bacillati; Bacillota; Bacilli; Lactobacillales; Enterococcaceae. The record is from RNAcentral.
GGCAGUUGCGUGACAGGAGCCGUGGUAACAAUAACCUUGAAAGCGUUAUUCGGAUACCGUGUAGUUAAAGGGGGGGGAGGCUGGGCGGAAAGUGGGGCGGGAAAGCCCUCGGCUUAACCGAGGAACUUCGCACAAAACUACUGUGCUCGAGGGAGACAGAGGUGAGCGGAACUUAGGGUGGAGCGGUGAAAUGCGUUGAUAUCCUAAGGAACACCCGUGGCGAAAGCGGCUCACUGGGUCUCUUCUGACGCUGAGGCACGAAAGCUAGGGUAGCGAACGGGAUUAGAUACCCCAGUAGUC